This 164-nucleotide ribosomal RNA is filed under the name Margyricarpus setosus. RNAcentral's name for it is "5.8S ribosomal RNA". It matches the Rfam family "5.8S ribosomal RNA". From Rfam's summary of the family: 5.8S ribosomal RNA (5.8S rRNA) is a component of the large subunit of the eukaryotic ribosome. It is transcribed by RNA polymerase I as part of the 45S precursor that also contains 18S and 28S rRNA. Lineage: Eukaryota; Viridiplantae; Streptophyta; Magnoliopsida; Rosales; Rosaceae. The record is from RNAcentral.
UAAACGACUCUCGGCAACGGAUAUCACGGCUCUCACAUCGAUGAAGAACGUAGCGAAAUGCGAUACUUGGUGUGAAUUGCAGAAUCCCGUGAACCAUCGAGUCUUUGAACGCAAGUUGCGCCCGAAGACAUUAGGCCGAGGGCACGUCUGCCUGGGCGUCACAC